Molecule: long non-coding RNA, 4507 nt
Filed under: Sus scrofa (pig)
Lineage: Eukaryota; Metazoa; Chordata; Mammalia; Artiodactyla; Suidae
Description: lncRNA (ENSSSCG00000059635.1)
Source: RNAcentral
UUGCCCUGCUCAAUGGGGUAAGGAUCCAGCAUUGCCAUGAGCUGUAUUGUAGGUUGCAGACAUUGUUUGGAUCUGGUAUUGCUGUGGCUGUGGCGUAGGCUGGCAGCUGCAGCUGCAUUUCAAUCUCUAGCCUGGGAACCUCCAUAUACCACACUUGUGGCCCCUUCACCCCCCAAAAAAACACUAUGUCAACUAGGAUUCUACUGGUUAUAAAUGACAGAAAGCCCAGCAGAGAUGGCUUAUGUGCAUUGCACCAUCUGGAGCUAGAACUGGCUUCAGGGCUAUGCAGGGUCAUUUCCCAUUCCUCCUCCAGAGCCACUUGCUACCUUUCCUCUCCCUGACCUCUGUCCCUGGAGCCUGUGUUCUGAGCUGCAUCAGCAGGGCUCCCAUAACCUCUAGCCACUGCCUGUGUACCCAGUGGGAAAAGCCAGCAGAAAUGUGAAGGGAGAGAGCAAAGGGGGAUCAAAGUAUUUAUUCCUCCACCUCCCUCCCUGCAAAGUCACUCUGGGUGACCUCAAUUUGAGGUCAUGGUUUUUCAAGGUGAUUUUUCAAGUCUCUACAUGACCCUCUUCUUGCUGGUUCUGGUAGCCACUCCCUCCCACACCCUUUCGGACCCACAAGUGAUAACAGUUCACUGUCACUGGCCUAGGGUCCCUGCAGUAUGUUUGCACUUGGUGGUUGGACACCUACACCUUGGCCCACAGUGAGUGGUCCCUUUGCUCAUAUUGUCUGGUUCAAGUCAAUCAUUUAUUUCCUGUCAGAGCCUGAUUCUCAUGAGAUCUCUAAUGUGUCUUUCCUGUUGGGACUUUGCCUCUCCAUCUCUUGAAUCCAUCUUUUGCUGAACUGACUUCAAUCUUAAGUUAUAGGCUCUGCAGUAACAGCUGUAGCCCCUGGCUUCUCUUGGUUUCAGGACCCUAGGAAAAACAGAGUCUCAUUCCAGAAAGGAUUAUCCAAAUUCCCAUUUCCUCUCAGUGGCUAUAAUGGAGAGCCAUGUGCCCCUCUCUGAGCCCAUGACAGUGACCAGGGGAAAUCCCUGUGCUGUCUCAAGUCCUGUGCUCCAUCCUGGGCAAACGGUGUGGAAGAGAGCAGUUCUGCAGGGGAAAGUCAACGGGCCUUUACUGUCAUACGGCGACUUAUAAGAAAUAUGUAUUUGGCCUUUGUCUUUGUUUCUGGCACAGAAUUCCUAAAACCAUUAUAAAUCCCUGAGCAAGGGGAAUGAUUAGGUUAAAUGAGGUGACUUUUGGACUGAACCUAGGCUGGGGAAUGGCUGCCAAAAUAACCAACCUUGUGAUUAGAGGGUCAGAACUUUCAGUCUCAACCCCCUGACCUCCUGGGAGUAGAGAGGGGCUGGAGGUUGAAUUAAUAGUCAAUGGCCAAUGAUUUAAUUUAUCAUGCCUAUUUAGUGAAGCCUCUAUAGAAACCUUAUAGGACUGGGGUCAGAGAGCUUCCAAGUUGGUGACCACGUGGAGAUUUGGUGAGAGUGGUGCUCAGGGAGAAUGUGACAAGCUCUGUCCCCUUUCUACACACCGUGUCCUGUGCCUUUCUUCCGUUUUGCUGUUCCUGCGUUACCUCCUUUUGUAAUAAACCGGUAAUCUAGUAAGUACCGUGUUUCUCCGAUUCCUGUGAAUGGCUCUCGCAAAUUAAUGAAACCCAAAGAGGGGGGCAUUGGAACCUCCUCUCUAUAGCCAAUUGGCCAGACACAUAGGUGACAACCUGGACUUGUGACUGGCCUUUGAGAGGGAGAAGCAGAGGAGGGAGGGCAGGAUCCCCUCCGACUCAGCCCUCUACCUAUGGAAGCUGAUGCUGUUUCUGGGUAGGCAGUAUCAGAAUCGAGUUGACUCCUAGGACACAUGGCUAGUGUUGGACAAUUGCUUGGUGGUGUGGGAGGAAAAAUCUAUAUGUUGUACUUGAGUGCAGAAUAUUAGUUACCAGAAAGAGGGUAACUGGAAGUUGCUUGGGAAAAAGUCACAGUUGCAUGGCAGUCAUCUUCCUAAGAUCUCACAGCAGAUAGGGACUCAUGUGUUUGCCCAACUCUAAGCCUCAGUUCUUCCCAGUACUCUGUCCUCAGCCUCUUUCCCCAGGCGGACUUUCUGCUGGGACGCCAGGUCUCGCUCUCUCAGGACAGAGAGUCCUGUAAUUGUUAGAGCAGAAGCCAUCCUGAGAGCCAUGUCAGGCAGAAGGGCAGCCCAUGCUGGGGUAGGGAAGGAGGAUGGCAUGAAGGAGCCACACCCUCCAGGUCAACAGAGCUGGAUCUGCCCUGUCACUUUCCACUUCCCCAGACGUGGCCGAGCCCAACCAGAUAUCUGCCACAGAAGACAGGUGGACUGGACAAGUCAGAUUUAAGGACCAGCCCAGGAAGGAACCAAUGUGGCAGGAGUGUGGGGAGGAAGUUGAGUGAGGCAGGCAGGCAGAGUGUGAUUGCAGGAAGCCAGGGUGACAGCGUUCAGAGCCAAUGUGGGAAUAAGCAUGGGUGAGCCUACCUCCAAAGUCCAGGAAAGCUGGCCGGGCAUGAGUCAGCCUCCAAGAGAACAAUUGCCUGGAAAGCUAUGCUUUGAAACAAAUCCCAGAAGAGUUAUAAUAUUGACUGUACUGGCGCUAGUCAGGAUUGGUUAGAAGUCUUUCAGAAAGUACUAAGCCCCCGAAUGAGUGACUACAUAAACGAAUCAAUGAACGGGAUAAAUGAUCUCUAAGAUCUCACCCAUCCCUAAAAUGCCACAAAAUCCUUCAGAGGGUAAAGCACAUUUGGGCCAUUUGAGGGAACAGGGCACAGGAAGAAGUGCCUGACGAGCUGAAAGGCUUCUGAGAAAAGAUGAUUCUGUAGCUUUCAGAAUACCACUGCUGGUGCCAUCUUUCUUUGGCCCUUAAAUGUAGGACUCUUCUGUUUUGGUUGUUGUUAGAGCCAAAGCCCAUUGCCUUUAGGCCAGACUUACAGACCCAACAGACAUUCAGAGUAUGUGUGAUUUCAAGAAAGAAAAUAGCUCCUCAGUUCUCCUUAAUUGUAUACCUCUUUUUAAUUAUAAGAGAAUUAUAUAAUCAUUAUAAAAAUUAGAAUAUUCCAGCAAAUAUUAUCUCACUCAAGAGUCAACCACUGAGGAGUUCCUUGGUGGCUCAGUGGGUUAAGGAUCCAGUGUGUCAGUACUGUGGCUCUGGUCACUUCUGUGGUUCAAGUUCAAUCCCUGGCCCAGGAUCUUCCUCAUGCCAUGGACAAAACCAAAAAAAAAAAGCAAAGCAAAAGAGUCAACCCAGAUACAUUCUUCCCAGAAUAUUUCUUAAGCAUAUUUUAUUACACAUUAUUACUGAUAAUUUUUUCCGAAAUUUGUUCUUCUUGAUUUUGCUUAACAUUAUGUCACAAGCAUUUACCCAUGCCAAGAAAAUACCUUCAGAAGGUAGUAUUAAGUUACUACAGAAUGUUCCCUCCUAUAUAGAUGAGUCAUAAUCUACAUAACCAAUCCCAGAUCAGACAUUCAGAUUAUAUCCAAGGUUCAUUAUAAUAAUAAGCAUCCCUGAUAUAAGCUUGUAUGCACAUAAAGCUCUAUUUGCAUUUCAGAUCAGGUCUUGAGGCCAGAUUUGAGGAAGAGGAAUUACUGGUCAAAUGUCAUGAACAGUUUUCAAGCUCUUGCUAUUCAAGGCUAGUUUAUAUUCCAAGUGACAUUGCCCCAGUGUGGGCUUCACCGGCGGAACAUGGGACAUUGAUCUUUAUGGGCUGGUCACUGUCUUUAUUUUCUCUCUCUCUCCCUUAACUUUGCCAGUUAACCCUGUUAUCCCUUUGUCUUCAUCUAAACCUAUCUUCCAGAUCAGAGAGACCUGGGGAAGGAAUGGAAAGAGAACUGGGUUUAUUGCAUUGAGCCCCUCUCUUGCUACCCAGCAGGGAAAUCAAUGCUACCUCAGGCCCUGGAGUUUUAAUUAACCUCCAUAAGCAGGAAUCUGAUCCCUGAAGUUAGUCAUUGCUCCAAGCUCCAUACCAGACCCCUAGGAGAAAAAGAGAGAGAGAGACUGUACAAGUGGUUUACAAUGGCUGGACUUGACCAUGCGUAUAAGAAAUGGCCAUAUAAGGUGUGGUCUUAACCUUCUGGACAGGGAGGUCACAUGACUUCCUUUAGCGCAUGAGCAAGGGGUGAAAGAGCCCGUUAGACUUAGAGAAACAUACUCAGUUGGCCUUCCAAGAGCUCGCAUCUGGAGCAGAUAUCCUCUGUGAUAUGUGACAGUUCAGGUCCAGGCACAAGCCUGCAUAGCCAAUGACCCAGAGAGGCCAGCUUGUAUGCAGCUCAGACAAACAUCCUGAUCAAAUGGACUCCAGUGUGGAAAUUACAACCAGGAGAAGUAGAGCUUAGAAGGAAGGCAGCAGUCUGCUGGAAUGGGAUAGAACUCUUAGAUUGCUUUGGAGGAGCUCCCAUCACGGCUCAGUGGUAAUGAACCUGACUAGUAUCCAUGAGGAUGCAGGUUCAAUUCCUAGCCUCGCAUAGCGGGUUAAGGAUCUGGGUAGGUCACAGAUGAGGCUCAGAUCCCA